This 468-nucleotide ribosomal RNA is filed under the name uncultured bacterium. RNAcentral describes it as "partial 16S ribosomal RNA". It matches the Rfam family "Bacterial small subunit ribosomal RNA", at positions 28 to 507 of the family's 1533-position model. The record is from RNAcentral.
GACGAACGCUGGCGGCGUGCUUAACACAUGCAAGUCGAACGGAAAGGCCCUGCUUUUGUGGGGUGCUCGAGUGGCGAACGGGUGAGUAACACUUGAGUAACCUGCCCUUGACUUUGGGAUAACUUCAGGAAACUGGGGCUAAUACUGGUUAGGAGCUCCUGCUGCAUGGUGGGGGUUGGAAAGUUUCGGCGUUUGGGGAUGGACUCGCGGCUUAUCAGCUUGUUGGUGGGGUAGUGGCUUACCAAGGCGUUGACGGGUGGCCGGCCUGAGAGGGUGACCGGCCACAUUGGGACUGAGAUACGGCCCAGACUCCUACGGGAGGCAGCAGUGGGGAAUAUUGCACAAUGGGCGGAAGCCUGAUGCAGCAACGCCGCGUGCGGGAUGACGGCCUUCGGGUUGUAAACCGCUUUCGCCUGUGACGAAGCGUGAGUGACGGUAAUGGGUAAAGAAGCACCGGCUAACUACGUG